Molecule: small RNA, 28 nt
Filed under: Bombyx mori (domestic silkworm)
Lineage: Eukaryota; Metazoa; Arthropoda; Insecta; Lepidoptera; Bombycidae
Description: ovarian small RNA-29781
Source: RNAcentral
UCUCGUACACCUCAAGCCACUUGGAGUA